UACGUAGGGGGCAAGCGUUGUCCGGAAUUAUUGGGCGUAAAGAGCUCGUAGGCGGUUUGUCGCGUCUGCUGUGAAAACCCGAGGCUCAACCUCGGGCCUGCAGUGGGUACGGGCAGACUAGAGUGCGGUAGGGGAGAUUGGAAUUCCUGGUGGUAGCGGUGGAAUGCGCAGAUAUCAGGAGGAACACCGAUGGCGAAGGCAGCUCGCUGGGACGGUACUGACGCUGAGGCGCGAAAGCGUGGGGAGCGA
RNAcentral lists this ribosomal RNA (249 nucleotides) under uncultured bacterium. RNAcentral's name for it is "partial 16S ribosomal RNA". It matches the Rfam family "Bacterial small subunit ribosomal RNA", at positions 524 to 771 of the family's 1533-position model. The record is from RNAcentral.